RNAcentral lists this ribosomal RNA (467 nucleotides) under uncultured bacterium. Its description in RNAcentral is "partial 16S ribosomal RNA". It matches the Rfam family "Bacterial small subunit ribosomal RNA", at positions 28 to 506 of the family's 1533-position model. The record is from RNAcentral.
GACGAACGCUGGCGGCGUGCUUAACACAUGCAAGUCGAACGGAAAGGCCCUGCUUUUGUGGGGUGCUCGAGUGGCGAACGGGUGAGUAACACGUGAGUAACCUGCCCUUGACUUUGGGAUAACUUCAGGAAACUGGGGCUAAUACCGGAUAGGAGCUCCUGCUGCAUGGUGGGGGUUGGAAAGUUUCGGCGGUUGGGGAUGGACUCGCGGCUUAUCAGCUUGUUGGUGGGGUAGUGGCUUACCAAGGCUUUGACGGGUAGCCGGCCUGAGAGGGUGACCGGCCACAUUGGGACUGAGAGACGGCCCAGACUCCUACGGGAGGCAGCAGUGGGGAAUAUUGCACAAUGGGCGGAGGCCUGAUGCAGCAACGCCGCGUGCGGGAUGACGGCCUUCGGGUUGUAAACCGCUUUCGCCUGUGACGAAGCGUGAGGGACGGUAAUGGGUAAAGAAGCACCGGCUAACUACGU